ACAAAUCAAAAAACAAAUCAUCUUCUUAAAUCGGCUAUAAUAGCGUAAGCGGUGUCUACGUCAGUAAAGAGGGUAAGUAAGUAUGUGAUUUAAGAGAGUGGAACGGUUACAAAUUUUGUAAUAAAAAAUACCAUCUCGACAUUUACAAACGUCGUCAAUUGUUUUUAUUAAAAGUAAGUCAGAGGUAUCAGGGACUACUACAAUUACAACUAGCGAAACCCUUGGCUACUGGAUGUAAAUGUCGUUGUUUAUACAUUCAGACAAUAAAUAAUCCCUAGUUACAGGAAGUCACAUUUGUUAGCCUGCACUCCGUCACACCAACCCAUAGGACAAAGGAAGGUUGCUCGCAACUUAUAAGGCCAUUAGAGGGCCGGUCGUUAACUAAAUUGCGCCGUUCUGUUCGCUGGGGGGCUAGCGAGAAGCAAUUGGAGAAGUUACAACCUUUGUCAGAACGUCGUCCUGUGGAAUGUGACAGAAAAUCUCUAUAUCUCCGCCUAUACACAUCUUGCAGAGUACAACAAAUAUGCUACCAAUUAAGGAGCACAGCGUGUUAUGCUGAUGAACGGCGUUCUCGAGUUCAAACCCCCACCUAUUGUAGCGAAGAGCCCGAGAAUACCGCGUAGUACUGGCUCAACUUAAAUCAGGAUAUUGUAGUAGAUUAAAUUCCUACUUAUCCAGACUAGACGCCGACAUACCUAAUGUAUGUCCAGGCGUUAUGAGUCCCCGGGGCCCUCUAAAACCAACUCAUCUAACCCUCCAUUUCUAUCUGGUCUGAACCCGUCGAAACACCUCGUUUCCUGGACCUGACAUUAGAUGACCUCGAUGAAAAACCGUUACAAGAACAACAACUGUGUACCACUUACCCUCAUUAAUAAAUUGCAGUAAUUUUGUUUCAACUGGUCUCAAAUUUUUCGCGAGGUGAUGGUAAGCCUUAUAUUUUAAAUAAAACCCGUCAAAACUCGCUUUUCGAAAUGCAUUUCCCAAAACAAGAAAAGAGCUUUUAAAAUCUCUUUUUACGGUGUUUAGAAAAUAAAUGCUUCUGAAAAGCCUUCUGAUUGACCUUGCAGAUUUUGGUUAGACAUGAAUACACAAUUUUGAAAUGACAUUUAUUUGCAGUUAAACAAAAGUUUUUAUUUAAGUUUUAUGAAUAUAUUUUAUUACAUGUAUGUUUCUAUAUAUGUAUGUAUUAUAAGUUAUAUAUGGGAUACUUUUACUAUGUAAUCUAAAUAUUUUGCAUUACUGAUGUCAUAAUAAUGUGUAGUCAUAAUAAACAAUUACACUUAUUUGUAUACUUCAUAAUAACUUUUAUCAUAUUAGUUUUAAUACAUACACUUCAUAUCGAAUAC
Ceratitis capitata (Mediterranean fruit fly) is the source of this 1346-nucleotide long non-coding RNA. RefSeq lists it as uncharacterized. Lineage: Eukaryota; Metazoa; Arthropoda; Insecta; Diptera; Tephritidae. The record is from RefSeq and is a predicted model, not a curated record. The transcript has 2 exons.